This 62-nucleotide transfer RNA is filed under the name Ditylum brightwellii. Lineage: Eukaryota; Bacillariophyta; Thalassiosirophyceae; Lithodesmiales; Lithodesmiaceae. The record is from RNAcentral.
UAGCUCAGUCGGAGGAGCGCUCGGUUUUUCAUCGUGUAAUCGUGGGUUCAAUCCCCACAAUG